AACGAACGCUGGCGGCAGGCUUAACACAUGCAAGUCGAACGCCCCGCAAGGGGAGUGGCAGACGGGUGAGUAACACGUGGGAACAUGCCCAAAGGUACGGAAUAUUCUCGGGAAACUGGGAGCAAUACCGUAUGUGCCCGAAAGGGGAAAGAUUUAUCGCCUUUGGAUUGGCCCGCGUUGGAUUAGCUAGUUGGUGGGGUAAAAGCCUACCAAGGCGACGAUCCAUAGCUGGUCUGAGAGGACGACCAGCCACACUGGGACUGAGACACGGCCCAGACUCCUACGGGAGGCAGCAGUGGGGAAUCUUGGACAAUGGGCGCAAGCCUGAUCCAGCCAUGCCGCGUGAGUGAUGAAGGCCCUAGGGUUGUAAAUAUCUUUUAUCUGGGAAGAAACACUUCUAUUCUUAGAAGCUUGACGGUACCAGAGGAAUAAGCACCGGCUAACUCCGUGCCAGCAGCCGCGGUAAU
RNAcentral lists this ribosomal RNA (467 nucleotides) under uncultured bacterium. Its description in RNAcentral is "bacterial SSU rRNA". It matches the Rfam family "Bacterial small subunit ribosomal RNA", at positions 29 to 524 of the family's 1533-position model. The record is from RNAcentral.